AUACGUAGGUGACAAGCGUUAUCCGGAUUUACUGGGCGUAAAGGGCGUGUAGGCGGUCUUGCAAGUCAGAAGUGAAAUUCCUGAGCUCAACUCGGGCGCUGCUUCUGAAACUGCAGGACUUGAGUGCUGGAGGGGAUAGCGGAAUUCCUAGUGGAGCGGUAAAAUGCGCAGAUAUUAGGAAGAACACCGGUGGCGAAGGCGGCUAUCUGGACAGUAACUGACGCUGAGGCGCGAAAGCGUGGGGAGCAAACAGGAUUAGAUACCCUGGUAGGCCACGCCGUAAACGAUGAAUACUAGGUGUAGGGGGUAUCGACUCCCUCUGUGCCGCAGUUAACACAAUAAGUAUUCCGCCUGGGGAGUACGUUCGCAAGAAUGAAACUUAAAGGAAUUGACGGGG
Molecule: ribosomal RNA, 397 nt
Filed under: uncultured bacterium
Lineage: Bacteria
Description: partial 16S ribosomal RNA
Rfam family: Bacterial small subunit ribosomal RNA
Source: RNAcentral